Molecule: ribosomal RNA, 301 nt
Filed under: uncultured bacterium
Lineage: Bacteria
Description: partial 16S ribosomal RNA
Rfam family: Bacterial small subunit ribosomal RNA
Source: RNAcentral
CAGUCGCCGCGGUAAUACGUAGGUGGCAAGCGUUGUCCGGAAUUAUUGGGCGUAAAGGGCUCGCAGGCGGUUUCUUAAGUCUGAUGUGAAAGCCCCCGGCUCAACCGGGGAGGGUCAUUGGAAACUGGGAAACUUGAGUGCAGAAGAGGAGAGUGGAAUUCCUCGUGUAGCGGUGAAAUGCGUAGAGAUGUGGAGGAACACCAGUGGCGAAGGCGACUCUCUGGUCUGUAACUGACGCUGAGGAGCGAAAGCGUGGGGAGCGAACAGGAUUAGAUACCCCUGUAGUCCCUGUCUCUUAUAC